Molecule: long non-coding RNA, 294 nt
Filed under: Nicotiana benthamiana
Lineage: Eukaryota; Viridiplantae; Streptophyta; Magnoliopsida; Solanales; Solanaceae
Description: long non-coding RNA (NBEN_LNC031936)
Source: RNAcentral
AUAUUCUCCGUCCAUGGGAUUCUCGGUGAGAUGAUCUGCCAAGGCUUGUACUUUGAUUGCCUUCUGAGUCACGUAAACAAUGUCAAAUUCAUUUAGCAGUGGGCAUGGACUUCUGGAAUAUAUACUUCAGUGGAUCCAUUCUUGAUGUGAAAUAAGUGGUAUAAGCACAGAAAUAAUGCCUCAACUUCUGAGCUACCCAAGUCAAAGCACAACAGGUGCGCUCUAAUAGAGAAUACCGGGCCUUGUACGGGGUGAACUUCUUGCUGAUAUAGUAGUUGGCUUGCUCAUUUCUCC